UUUAAUUAUGCCGUCCUCUCGCAUGAUUUAAAUCACACAGACAUGUUCUCUAUCAAGAAAACAACUGUAAAGAGACGAGUGGGGAGAAUGUGUCGUAAAAACUUCUUGCCAAAAGUAAGUAUAUUCACUGCACACAUCUGCCUUAAGAAACUGAUUCUUAGAAACAACAAUUUGAUGAAGUAUAAAAGAGUUUAGCCAAAGGUACAGUAAGGGAAAGAACAAGAAAGAAAAACAAGAAGGCUGUGUUUGGACAGGGUUCAUGAAGAUCAGCCCAAGCACUGAAAAGGUACAGUAGACGAACACCAUUGUAAGACUCCAAUGCAGGAUGAAGGCAAGCGAAACCACCAACCUGAAAUUAUAACUUCAAGGAAUUUGUUCGCACCGACUCAUGAGCUGUAAAAGUGAGUUAGCUUUCCUUUGGGCUCUGCUGUUUCCGCUCUUUGUAAUCUCAAUCAAAUGCUCUAACACACCAUACUGAAGUGCAGCCAAAAUGAAAGAGGAAUUGCUAGACCCCAGCUCAAGAAGAACCGAUGUGGCGCAUUCUUUGUUCUUGGUGGUCCCAUCUCUGAUAAACUCAACAAGAGUUUCAAUGACUGAGAGCUGUCCAAUCUCUUGCCGCCCGUCCGGAUGUGAUGCCAGGAGGAACAAGAUAGAGAGGGCCUCGUCAAUCAUGCCCGAGUUUGGGCUCUUAAUUAACUGGAGUAAAGGUGGAAUAACACCAGCCUCAAUGGCCCUGGUCUUAUUUGCCUUGUUGAGAGAGAGGUUAAAGAGUGCUGUGGCAGCAUCCCUUUUGCCUCUGAUUGUCCCAUGCUGCAACAAAUCCACCAACGGCGGGAUGCCAUUAGAGAGCCCGAUUGCUGCUUUAAUAUCAUCAUCUAUCGACAAACUGAAUAAUGCCGCUGCAGAGUUCCCUUUAGCCUCAACGCUUCCUUUCCGUAGGACAUCUAUUAUAGCUGGAAUGGCUCCUUCUAUAGCAAUGAGUUUCUUGUUGGCCUCAUCAAUUGACAAGUUCAACAGAGCUGUUACAGUGUGCUCUUGAAUCUUGGAAUCUGGAUAGGACAGGAGUUGCACUAAUGGUGGGAUUCCUCCACUCUGGGCAAUCAGAACUCGGUUCACUGGAUUCUCUUUCGAGAGCAUUCGGAUCUUCUUCGCUGCUUUUCUCUGCACUUCCAAUUGAUUAGAGGAUAGGUUUUGAACCACAGACAAGACAGACUCUUUCUGCUCAGAGGAGCCCUCAGUGCUUGAAGAAGCAUCCUUUUUGGGAAUUUGAAAAUUAUUGUUCUCACACCACUGAAGGAUCAGGUUUCUGAGGGCAUAGUUUGGCACAAGCGAGGAGUGAACCAAAGGUUGCAUUGUCUUUGGACAGGUUUUAUGGUUGGAGUCCAACCACUUCUGUAUGCUUUCUCUUUCAUAUGUCUUCAGUGGAUAACAAAGACAAACAUACUGUUAGUUUCCAUGGCAAUACAUGAUGACUGAAAGAAAUACAUUUGCUUCUUCUAAGAUGUAGUUCCUAAAACUAAUUUCUAUGAGUUGGCAAAUGUGAGAUCACCUGUCCAGUUGCUACAAAAACAGGAUCAGUCAUUAUUUCUAAUGUGAUUGGGCAGAGGAACUCAUGAGGGAUAGCCAAAGAUGGGGAUUUCUCAAGAGUUUUGGGCACAAUGGGAUCAUCAAGCACAUUGAUCUCUUCAAGCCCUCCACUUUGUCUGAAUUUAUUCAGAAGUUCAAUCACAUGCUGGGUACUCUCUGCAUUUUGUCCUCCUCUUUCUUUCACAAGUUUUCUUACAGCUAUUGUUUCUGCAUUCAAGUCCUCAACUGUAAGCAGUUCCAGCUUCUUUGCCAGCCUCACUAUUAUUGCACUAUCCGCAUUCCGUUCAUCGUCUUUUGAGAAUACCACCAUCAUAUCCAUUGCAAGUUCAAUAUCCUGAGUGUCUGUUCGCCUCUUGGAUCGUUUGAGGUGCAUGCGCACUAAAUCAAGCUGAAUGAAUGAAUGAAUAAACUCAACUCACAAUCUGAGUGAAAAGAACUUAUCGCAGAAAGUUAAAACACUUUACUACCAAUUUUCAAACCAUUGCAUGUUUAGUGAAAACUUUUGGCUUAAACCCGUUCUUUGCUCAGAUGCAAAACCACGCCCCAUUCGAGCCUCUCAGGCAAUUUUUUAUAAAUUUUUUUUUAUAAACUCACUCGCUUUGGAACUUCCAUUCUUCCAGCAGUUCCAAGUCAUUUUUCUCUCUCUAAACAUGAGAUUUCCACAUCAUAAUAUGGUGCAAAACUACAAAAAUGUAAGUUAAUAUUUCAGUGUUAUGCUAAUAAAAGCAGCGCCAGAUUAAAAAUCGUGUCUGUGCACGGGAUAAUCUCAAGAGACGAGGCACAAAGAGCAAGAAAAAGGAAAAAAUAUAUUUAAAAGAAGGGAAAGAAGAAGAGUGCACACCUCUUCUUUUACUUCCUCUGAGACUCCAAGCUCUUCAUAAGGCAAAUCUUCCAAAGCUUGACUUAAUUUUUCAUUGGCACGAUGAAAUCUAGCCAUGACUGCUUCAUUCUCAAGUGCCUGAAUCAGGAUACGCAGAAAAAUAAGCAAUAAAAAUCUCAACCCCUAAUAAUAUUUCAAAAUAAACCAUGUGUCCGUUUAUUUCAUUUUGCUAUGAUUUGUCGGGAACCAAUCAGAGCGCUCACAUAUUAAAAAAUGAAAAUAAAAAUAAAAAUCCCUUACCAGAUAAAUCUUGCUUCCCUCACUGCAAGUUAUCAAGAGUUUCUUGACACGUAGAAGCGCCUUCUUCAAAUUCCAGAAUGGAUUUAAAGACUUCUCGGGAACUUGGCCAUGGAGGUCCUUUACAUCUUCUAAAAGCGGCAACAAUAACUUCAACCGCCUUACUAGGUUUUGGCACUCCUUCUUCUGCGUCCUCCUAUAAUCUCCAAUGGCUACAAUGGACCCAAUCACGACCAUCAGUUCUUGAACCUCACAGGUGCACCCUUGAGUGUUGGACGCAUUGGGAGCAGUCUCCUCCUCCCCAGUCUCCACCACUUGUCCUCCUCCGCCUUCUUCGACCUCGCCAUCCAUCACCAUUUGCAAACCGAACACACCCCUGUAAUAGUAAGGAUUUUAGAGUAAUGGGAAUCUGGCCAUGCAAGAAAAUUAGGUCUUCUUCCAAAAGGGAAUGGAGAUUUGCCAGAGGGACGAGUGAGAAGAAACGUGAAGACAAAGAAACCCUGGCCCUAAUUUCCAUGGGAUUCAGGUGGCGCCUGUUUCUUGAUGGGGCGUGGAGCCUUUCGCGGGUUUUCAAACGUAGGACUUAUGGUCAUUAUCCAUUUUGAAAGUUCGUUAUUUUCAAACCUACUUCCACACCGUUUGUUCGAUGCGAUUCCCCUGCCUCUCCGUCGUUCACCCUUCUUCUACUUCUUCUUCUUUUUUCCUUAUUUUUUCCUUUAUCCUCUUAAAUUAUUUUGCCAUUAUUUUAAGAAUAAUAAUGCUAUAAAUAACAAGCUUAUAUGUUAUCUAUCAAUUCAAUAAAUUUAAAAUUUAUAAAAAAUAAUUGAAUAAAUUAUUAGAAGCUAUGUGUUUUGAACUUACAUAUUUUCUAAACUCAAAGACAAUACUUGGACAAUUUAAGCCUUUUGAUCUUAUUAAGUCACAAUUCAAGCUACUUAAUCUUGCUAAGUUCGUCUUGCGAUUUAACAAUUAUAAUGCUUAACGAAUACAACAUUUAACUAAGAAAGAAGCUUUGUAUUGUAUAAAAAUACUUUAUAAUGCUAGGAAUCUUUCAAUUUGCUUAAUGUCUUGGUCAAAUGAGGUCACCUUCUAUUUAUAGGUACUCAAAGAACUCUUUGGACCCAUAAAGGUUCUUACAUUUUUAAAGUUCACUAAAACUUCUAUAUAAAUCAUAUAUAUGUAUAUGUAUAAGAUGAUUCUAAAACUUUUUAAAACACUUUACUUUUUUACUCGUUUUCCAUUUCUUAGGUCCAUGUAAGUGUUUCUAGCCUUUCUCACAAUCUUUCAUACUUUUCUACUAGUAGCUAAGUGUAGAUUACUUCAAGAAGAUUCAUAAGCUUCAUGCUCUCCUAUGUAAGCUUAAGAAAAGGUUAUUUGAGUAGGUUGUGACUUACUGUUGAUAUUAAUCAUCAAAAAUAUUUUCUUGAAAUUGACUGUUUAAGAAUUUAAAAAUUCUUUUAGGCCAUGCUAUCUUUCCUUAUUUUAUUUUAUAAUAUUAUUAGUUAGAAGAAACUUUGUUAAACCAAAUAAUAAUAAGUAAUUUGAGAUAUUAUAAAAGAAGGACAAUCAAUUUGAAUUUUUGAAAAAUGAUAAAAUCAUGCCUUUUUUUAUAUAUAUAUAUUCUUACGAAAAAUCAGAUCAAUUAAAUGACAUCAUAUUUGUACAUUGAAGUUUAAUUAUUUUAUACCAAGUUGGAUUUAAUUGCUUUAUAUUUUUAUUCUAUUUUUAAUUUUUUUUAAUACUUUGAUUUCAUAGUCUAUGUAAACAACUUAAAAUUUAUUACAUACUUUUAGCAAAUAAAAAUUUUGGUAAAUACCAAAUCUUAAGUUGAUGUAAUUAUAUUUGUAUUUAUCCUAUCUACUUAGUCCACACUUGAUUUUACUAUUCCUUUUAUAUCUCUAUUUUUAGCAUUGAGUUUAUAAAAUUAUUCUCCAUUUUUAAAAUUUAAAAUGAUUAUUCAAUUAAUAUACUUUUUCUUUUUUUACAAAUCACCCAUCCAUGAACAUUGUCAAGUUGUUCUCACUUACAAAUAAUAAAGGUUAUUGAAUUAACUUAGAAUAUGUUUGGCUUUACAUAACAAAUUUUAAAAAUCAUAUUUGGUAAUCAAUUUUUAUUAGUUAUGGGAGUGGCAUUGAACCACGCCAAAUCAGCUUUUCAAUAUGUUCAAUUAGAGCCAAACCCAACCCAAUGUCAUGUUGAGAAUUCCUAAACCAUGGUAAGGCUAUCAACAUGGCCAAAUAAAUAAAACAAUUCCUAAUCGUCCCUAUCAACAUGUGUGUGUGAGACCCCCUCUGCAAGGCUAUCUUGUAGUCCUUUGCUCUCUCAUGACUAUUUAGGUGGACAAGCCAUUUGGGUGACCAUUUUUAGUUUUAUGGCCCAAUGGCUCUAAGGCCAAGUGACUGAUCUAUCUUAAAGUAGGUCAGACGAACAAAUUUUACGCGGAUACAGCAAGAUUGACACCUUACUGUACUUCAUGCAUUUAUUCACUUAUUAAUGCAUAGAUUGCGUGUCAGACACACUCCAUAUUAAAUCCAAUUGUAACUGAAAAACAUACCAUUCUUAUCAGCUCAUCAAGACAAGACAAUCGUUAUGCAUUGAUAAUCAAUGUUAUAACAUCAAGCAAUCAAGCACAAUUAAAGUACUAUUAAGACACUUGAAAAGACGUUACAUUGUAAUAAGUAUAAAAAACCAUGCAGACUCCAUAAAUGUGAUGCACUUUCUUUUUGACAAAUUCCCUUACUUAAGCCACUUAUUGACUUUAGUAUCGAAGGGGUGUGUCCAGACAAACCAUUUGAACAACCUUUUAUGUAGAUACUGUAGCCGUCUGCAUCUCAAGCGAGCUAGACAGAACCAUUGAUCAUGCCAUUCAUCCGGUUCUUGGAAGCUAGACAAAACCAUUCAUUUGGACCAUGCAACAAUAGUGUGGUUCCACAAUCUCCUUGGAGGAUCCAUUUCUUCCUUCUCAAAAUUAUGCACUACCUCCAUUGCCACGAUAUAGAUCCCAUUUCUAGAAAGAAGAGAUUGGAAUUCUUUCUUCAAUGUUCACAUGAUAGAAGAAGAAGGUAUAUAUACGAGAAUAUGGUAAAUGGUUUAGCAUAGCUUUGGUUCAUGUAAAAGGCUAUGGUGAUUUACAAUCAUGAUCACUUUAUGUGGGGUCUACCCACAAGCUUAGAUUUAUUAUGCUUGCUGCAUUAGAAGAAGUUGUCCAGCAUUGAAGAAACAUUUACUAGAGAGCCUAGAAGUACGCCAAUUUAAAGGACUUGGCGACCCCUCUUUCAAAAGUGGUUGCCCCUGCUAACUUUGGUGGAAGAAUGACUAAUGGAGCUAUGUCAAGGGUAAAAGGAAAGUGACAAAGGGUGGGACGAAACUCUAAUUCUUUGAGGAAGAAAAGACAAUAGUUAGGGUUCUGAAUACAAUAUUAACAAAGUUGAUGGAAUCAUACUCUUUUAAUCUUCAAAGAAUCAUCGAAGUUGUUGGAUUUUGAGUGGCUGCCCUAUCCUUAACGAGACACUUUUAAGAGGGACCCUAUGAAAUAUAUUUUUAUGUUUUUAAAUAUUAUAUUAUACAUAAUAUAUUAUUUUUAAAUUUUAUAAAUAUAAAAUUAUGUAUAAUAUAAUAAAAUCAAGGAAAGGAUAAGAUUUCCGACCUGAUUCCGGUUUUUAAAAUUUUCUCUAUUAUUGAUUUUGAAUUUGAUUUGUUAUUCCUUAUCCUUGUCCCAUUAGUUUAUUUUUACCAACCCUAAUUUUGUUAGUGAAACAAAAUCUUCCAGGAUGUUCCGCAUAUGCAAAGUUAAUGGAAUUACUACUUUGACUAAAGUUUUAGGCAUUUGCAAUCAAGUCAGACCUCACACGUAUCCACUUGGUCAAACCCAUAAUAGACAUCCCCACAACUUCUUGAAAGCAUGGACAUCAAUUGAAGAAAGAAUGUAAGCAUUCUCUUUCUUUAUCUUCUUAAGAAUGUACAAGAAUGAUCGAUAACAUAAUUAUAUUAGGGUGAAUUUGAGAGGGUUGAAUGUUGAAAAAGUGUAAGCCACGUAAAAUUCAAAAAACAAAGCCCUUCUUAGACGGACGCAACCACUCAUGACAGCCACUAUGGCCGCACGAUAGGAAAACUGGAGUUCUCUCUCUUAUAGCUGCCAUGUGUAGAAGCAAGCCUCGUAUGAGGAGUGUAGGUACAACAGUGGAUGAAAUUGGCAAAUCUUAGUGUGCCACUAAGUUGGUGUGAAGGCAAAGUUAGUUGGAUCCGUCUCCUCUUUAUCCCUUCAAAUUAGGGGAACGUGGCAAGUUGCAGAUGGGAAUGCUUUUGAUGGUUUAUAACAGUUCAAAGAAAGGACAUCAAUCAAACAUGUGUAAUAUUUCUAAAAAUUUGAAAAUUUAUUUUUAUUUAUAUUUUUUUUAAUAAAUAAAUAAAAAUAAAAAUAAAAUAACCAAGCAUUGCAAUUAAAUUAGAAGAUUGGCACUUCAUGUUUAAUUUCAACCUUUGGUUUGAACCCACAACAAAUCCAAGAAAAAUAAAUGUGAAAAAACAUAUGAAAAUAUCUAUUAAAUUUUAUUUUCUUUUUGUUUUUCCAACAUUUUCCUUUAAUUUUUCUAGUAACCAAACAAUGGGUUGAAUGAUUGAGAAGGAAUGAAUAAUUCAAAGCAGACAAUUGAAAAUUUUGAACCCCACUCACUAAUGUAGUCCGCGCCAGUAUGUUUUUUUGGAUCAUUGGAGUCUGGACCAACAUCGAUUGAGUGGACCGUCAAAAAUUUACGAAGUUGACCCAUUUUCUCUUCUGAAUCGAGAGACUUUUCUUCAUCAUGUGGGCCACUGGUCAGUUCGAAAGCGGUCUUUGGUGUAACAUAAGAUCUUGCCACGUGGAAAAGGUGGCCCAUUGCAAUGCUGAUGUGGCGAAAUCAGGGUGGAGUGCUGGACUUGCAGACUUGCCGUAUCGUAGGUAGUGAUCCCGCUAUGUGUGCAAGUGCAAAAAAAGGCGUGGGAUGUGGUGUUGGAGCCAAAGCCUUCCCCUUUUGAAAACCUCUUCUUUCUCUCUCUUCAUCCUCUCCAAAUUUACUCAGCGGAACGGUGAUUUUCUCUCUCUAUCUGUAUGAGUUGUGAUUCUGCUGUGUUUGGUUCUGUUGUGCUUGAUUUUUCCGUUUGGUGGCCGAGAAAACUGAGAGAGAGGGGAAAGAAGGAAAAAUAACUUGAAGUUUUACAGUUUCUGCUGUUUUAUUUAUUAUUAUUUUUAAUUUUUUUUUCAGUAAAUCGAACAGUUCGAUUUUACUGAGCAACCAUGUGUUAGCAGAGUUCAUUGCCCCAUUUUCUCGUGAACUGAAGCUGAAACAACGGCAAAAGUAAGUUUCCAAUUUCUUCUCUUUUCCUUGAAUUUCUCGGCGGCCAAACGGGAAAGCAACCGGUUUCAGGUGAAUUGAUGGGGGUUUUACUUUUCCACUUCUAGCUUGUGAAUGGCUUAUAUUGGUAAACUUGGAUAAUUUUUUAUAUGGGUAUGUAGGAGUCGCUGGGAUUCGAUCCCUUCGAGCUAUGGUCGAGUGUUAUUAAAGUUCGGAUUUUUAUGGGCAUUUCUCAUUUAGCUUAUCUAAAUGCUGUGAAAGUGACCUGCUUUGGGUACUCUCCAAUUUGAUAAAUUUGAUUGACAUGUGAACCUAAAUUAAUGGCAGAUUCUUAUUAUUGAGCGCUUCAGAUAUUUGUAUUAAUUUUAUUUAGGAAUCUUCCUUCUUUGGUAUGUAAACGUGUCUGAUAAUUUUUGGAAUGCAUUAAUAGGCUGUGUUUUGUAUUGCUUCUUAUUUGAAAUGAGUCCUUGUUCUUGCGCAUGUAAUAGGAUACCGGGACCUUCGUUAAGAAUUCAAGAAAUGACAUCACUUCAUUUGCUUUGAUCAUUUUGCUCGAGGACUGGGCCUUACUGAACAUUAGCAUGUCUGGUUUAGGUAUAUUGCUUUUUAAGUUUACCAGCAUAGCUUGAGAACUAGUAAUGGACCCUUAGCUGACAUCUGCACAUCUCAUUUAAGUAUCCCCUUUUAGUUUACUGACAUAGCUUGAGUUUGUGGGGAAUUGGCAAGGGGCUGUCAGGAUGCCUAGAGUUGAUAUUAUGCACAUGAACGAGACUUUCUUAAUGGUAUAACCGAUAAAGCAUUAGUGAGCAACGGCACAUUUUGUUUAGGUAUCUGUUUUAGUUGAUGGGCAUGGGCCUAGCUCAAGCAGUAGUUAAUGUUCUUUAUUGUUUAUAUGGUAGGUUUCAUUAUUUAAUUGACAAGUUUCUUUAUUUCUUGGAAUGGAGCUCGCCUUUAAUUUUCACCCUUGCAUAAGGAAUAGAUUACUUAAAAAAUCUUUAUCUAUGGAUCAUGUAUUAGUUUUGUGUUUAGCAUGAAAAAAAUGGUUAUAUGGGUGUUGGUGAUUAGCAUCAAGAAAUUUGGCAGGCAUCUGAUUGUGAAUCUUUGUCCCAUAUGGACCAUUAAUGUAUUCUAAGUGAAUUGCUUUACAAAAAUUGCUUGAUUAUGAGGGUGGUUUUGUUGAUUUUGUCUUUCAUCUUGUACUUAAUAUCUCCAGGCUAGUCCUUUGGCAUUAGCUCUGAGUUGAAUUAGUUCUGCUGGUUCCAAGAAUGAUCAACUCUAAACUUAAUAGCAACAGGCUGGGGGACAAUGGGAGUGGCUUGCCUACUUACCAUAAACAGCCACCUCUAGCAAUAAAAAAGAUACCAUUGAGAGAUGUACAGAAUGAUAACAGGAGUUUGUUACACAGCCAUACUGAAUCGGAGGGAGGUUCCAUUGCAGAUGCUAUUAAGACAUCGGGAACGAAAAGGCUUACACCUGACUGCCCUCAGAGUCCCCCUUGCCAUCAGUUCUUCAGCAGUAAUGGUGCGAAUGACCAUCUUGUGUAUGCGCGUAGAAGAUUUGAGUCAGAACUAGGAAAGAGAAGAAUUCUGGACCUGCCCAACAAAAAUGCUGAUAAUCUUCAUUCAACACAGUUUUGCCAGAAUAUGCAGCAAAUACCCCAACAGCAAACUCAGAUGAAGGAUCGUAAUGCAUAUUGUGCUCCAGCUUUUGCACCAAUUCCUUUGGCCUCUCUAGUGACCUUUGCGUUUGGUGAGCCAUCAGUUCCCCUUUCUAUGGGGAAGCCUAGUAAUGAGUUGCUAGAUGUCGAAUCCAAUUACCUAAAGGUUACUUCUGAGGUUCCUCAUUCAGUUCAUUCAAAGGAAACUGAUGAUCAGCAGAGGAAAGAACGGUUUCUCCGCCUGCAAAAAGUCUUGAAACAGUGUGAUGAAUUUGACCAAAAUGACUACAUCCAAAGUAAGUCAUUGGAUUCCAAUGGAGCCCCUUAUAAAAUUCUGUUAUGUGCUGCUCUCUUUAAUUUUUACAGUCCUGAACCUGCUCUUUGUUUAUGUGUUUUGUUAGUGCUGCGAAGCUUUUCCCCAAGUGAGCUUAGCAGACAUGCCAUUGAGUUAGAGAAAAGAGCAAUCCAGCUUACGGUUGAAGAAGGUAAUAGUAUUUUGGCACCUGCAUUUCUUGCCUUAUUCUUUGAUCACAUCUAGUAUAAUUUUUAGGUUUAGAAUUCUUCUAACAGGGGAAAUUUCCAAAUGCCCUCAGUAAUUUAGUAGAAAUGAAAUCUUAAACAUAAUUUGUCAUUACAGAACUAUAGCUUUACCAAGUUAAGAUGCUCUAUAUGCUACUUGUAUAACAUGGACAGGACUCAGGCUUUUAUCAUUAUGAAAAUAGCAAGCCAAAAAACUGCUUCAUUGGGUAAUCAUUUGGCAUACCACAGGAUUAACAUCUGGGUAUGGCAAUACAUAAUUGGCAUUCAUUUUUGUUUGAUAGAGUAGAGUCAGUAGACAUGGUGAAAUUUACAAGCCAAAAAAAUUGCUUUAUUAGGCAAUCCCACAGGUUUAAAGAGAAUCUUCUUCCAUCUAGAGGAGAUACUCGUUUAUUCAGUAUCAUGAGUAGGACUCCGACCAUAACAUAGUCGACAGAUCCAAGAUGUGCUCUUAAGUGUAUGGCUAACCCAAUAACGAAAGUUUCGCAUACUGAUAUCUGAUUGGCAUUUACUUUUAAUUGAUGGAGUAAACAUGUUGGUGCACACGCACAAGCUACUUGUAAAACUGCUUGACUGAUCUAAAUAUUCGACCUAGAUAUUUUACUUCUCUUUUUUUUUUUGAUCUUUUUCUUUGUUGUGUUAUUAAUAUUUAUCUGGGUCCAAUGAAUGCAUGGUUGUUCUAUCAUGAGUUUCCACAUUGUUAAGUGAAAGUUUAGACAAGCACAUGAAAUGGAUCUCAAGGCUGUCCAAGAUAUAAUGCUUAGCAUUAGGCUUGUAUGUAAAGAAAUCCAUAAAACCAAAUUUGCUGCAAUUAAAGAGCAAGAAAGGCUUUUGUAUUGGAGAAACUUCUGUAACAGAUAUCUAUUUCUUUGUUUCCAAACCACUUGUUUUUCUGUGUCAUUAAAAUAAGGAUUUUUUAGGAUUUUUAUAAAUGAUGGCCUCAUUUCUGUAAAGAUCAUUAUGGCAAUAUCUCCAUAAAAACAGUCCUCUUGAUGAUUCAAUUCACAUAAGAAAAAUAUAAGUUUUCUUAUAUUUUCUCACUGGGUUAUGUUGCCCCAGGAUGGAACAUGGCACAGAGAGGUCAAAACAAUCAAAGCAUUACCGCUCGAAAUGAAUUGUAGUCCUUUCAUCUUGAAAUGGAAAUAUUUCUUUCACAAAAAUUCUACAAAAUAACCGUGCUUGCAAGCUUGCCAAUGCUACUUCUAUUCAGUACCCUUUUACUAACGACUUUUCUGCCCCCUCCUGAAUCCUUUAAUCUAGCUCUUAAGAUAGCCUAUUGUACCAUUAUUUUUUCUGAAUCAUUAAUCUUCCUUCUUUCCCAGUUGGGGAAGUUCUGUUUUUGCAUUAACCAAUGCUGGUGAUAGAUAGCAGUAUGGAAGUUAGGGGCCAAUCUGAUAGAAUGAGCUCAUUGGUUAUCCUCUAUUGCAGGCAAAGAAAUCCAACGGAUGAAGGAGCUGAAUAUCUUGGGGAAAUCUGUACCAAAAAAUAAUCCAUCACCAAUAACUCAACAAGUCCCGGCCAAGAAGUAAACAAGCAGUAAAGAAUCUCGGAUAGAUAUAGUCUGUUUAUUGUGUUGAUCAGCCCAAUGGGUUCGCUUCAUCCGCUUCAGAAAAGAGUUUUAACCUUUAUAUUGUACUCUUUUGACUCCUUUUUUUCUGCAUAAUGAGCCAUUUUUGUAGUUUGGCUAGUGUUUCUGUGAUUGAGCCGUUGAGAAUGUAGUUUCUGAAAACACAAUAAUGGGACGUUUCUUGAAUAAAUCCGAAGUUAUUUUAUGAACCCAGUUUGGGUUUGUGAGUGGGGUUUCUGGGCAAUGCACUAUCGCAUCGAGGUUAUUUGUGGCAUCCUAAGUGUUGAUGGUUUCUAUUUUCAAUUUGGGUUACAAACUUACAACUUAUGUAGUAUCAUUAUCAUCAUCAUCGGACCAAUUGGACAGCGCAGGUGUUAUAGAAGAAGCUGUCAUGAGACUUGACGUUGUCUGAUGAAAAAUUGAUGAGGCCGGUGGAAGCCACAUCAUUGCACCACUUCUUUAGUUUUGGGAAAACAAAAGUACAAAGCAUGAUUAUAACAUGUCUUCCUAAAAUCAUUAUCUCAACCCCUUAAUCGAAGUCUUCUCGUUUUCAUCUUCUCCUGUUAAUUUCUUUUCAAUUCAGGGCUCCCUUCCCCUGAUCCACCUCAACUGAUGGCACACAUCUGGCAGCCAAUAGAAUUCUGCCACAUGAGAAUAUUGAUCUCCUCUUUUCUACAUGUACAUUUGAUUCAUGCCAGUAACUUAUUACAUCUACAUACUAGAUUCCUAGUAUUAAGAAACUGAACAAAAGCUGCUUGAUUAUCAGACAAUUUGGAAAGAUUUAAAAUAAAAAGGGGUUUGGGAAUAUAAUUUUUGUGGUCAGACACAUCAGAGAGACCCCACAGGAUGUUCAAGUGGUCAUUGGCAAGAGAUCCAUUAAAGGUCCAUUAUGGGACAAAGGAGGUCAGUCAUCAUUCUCUCCUUGCUUUUAAACUUGGGAAGUCAAUUAUGGCUUGGAUUAUCAACCUAUGAGCCCCCAACUAAUACGAGCCAUAUGAUGAAAAAGAUGAUUCAUUUUCUCAAUUGCCUUUCCAAUUUUCUUCACCAUAAUCUCAUAAUGCCACAUAAAUGAUAAAACCUCUUUCGAAAAAUGAAAAAAAAAAAAAAAAACAUUCAUGCACUUGGCUUGAAAAAGGCAUUUGAAUAUUUGACUCAAUCAAGUCAUGGGCGAAUGGGUCCAGUGGAUUUGGGCAGAGUUGAAAGCAGGCCAGUGGUUGAAGCUUUCUAACACUGCUUUUACUAGAAGAUAAUCAAAGUCAGUCUAAUAAACAAAGAGCUUGGUGUCUGGUGAGGACAAGGAAAGCCCAUAUAAAUGAUUUGGUCACAUGGGGGUUAGCCUAGGCAGCACCCUUUUUAAUUUUCUCUUAAUGAAUAUGCUGUUUGAGUCAUCCCAAAUAGAAUAAACCCCAAGCUUGGAAAACCUAGCUCACACUUUUUAUAUCCUCAUUACCAAACGACACACAUGAUAGCAUUACACUUCCCGGUGGUGGUGGUGGUGGUGGAGAGAAUGUACAGGCCUCAAAGAGAGAGCUUUGCCAUACAAGUAAGAGCUGAAGCCCUUGAACUCCCUCAACCUAAUCCCAACCCUUCUAGCCUUAACUUCUCUGCCAUGAAGCUCUUCCACCGCUUCCGCAAGAUUCUCAUGCGCUUCUUUUUCUCCUUUCCCUCCCGUGCUGCCUCAUCAGCAACAACGUCAUCAGCCCUUUCGCGACAGAAGGCCUACGAUAAACCCGACCCUCCAAAGACUUCAUGCAGCUCUUAUUACUCAUCCAACUCCCAUUACACCGAGGCCAUUGCUGACUGCAUUGAGUUCUUCAAUAAGGAGGGCAUUUUGGAUGGCCGCAAAUCUGAUGUUGUGGUCUGAUCGAUGAUCAAUUGAUCAUCAUCAUCAUCAUCAUCAUAAUCAUCAUACUGCUCUUUCUACACGUACGGUUUCAUGGGUGUUGUGAUUCAGUUUACUUGUUUUGCUUUUGGUUCCAAGCUUUUUAUGUACACAUUUGGGGGUUUUAGGUGUUUGAUUUGUUAGCUUCUUCCUCUCUUAAGUUUGUGGGCUCUGUUCACAUGCAGUACAAAUACAUGUUUUGUGCUUACAGCCAUUGAGGUGUAAAAAUGGAAAAUAAUUAUCUUCAUAUGAGGGGGAGUGCUUUUGCGGUUUUGCCUAUUUUCUACCUUGGGCCUAUUGGGUCAAUAGCUCCUUCUGGAAGCUGGCCCAAAGUGGAACCCAUGGGCCGUAGGUUUCUCUGGCAGUUGCAGUAUAUGCUUUCCCCUACACCAAGGGGGUAUCAUAUCCUGUGAGGAACAUGUGCACAAGCGUGUCUUUAACAAGACUACUUGUUUUUCAAGAAACCAUGAUUUCAUCAGAAGCAAGCAAGAGACCAAUCCCCACUUAGUUAGCAGCAAGUCCAUCUACAGUGAAAUGGAAUUUUUUUUAUUUUUCAUUAUGGUUUCUAUCAUAUUUUCUUAGAUGCCUCCUCAAUGGAAACAACAUUGGCCAACUAUGGCUAGAGUAGUAACGAGUUCAAAGGGAAAUUUUGGGGGAAAAAAGAAAGGUAAAACGGUUGGGUGGUGAUUAUUGGGAUGAAUGAGGUAAGACUUAUGGAGUGGCUGGUGAGCCGACUUGAGGGCUUCCUCUUCUCUUAGAGAAAAGGCCUCCUAUGAGAGGGAUGAGCGGCUUUUUUUUCUUCUUUUUAAGAGAAGGGUGUCUCUCUAGUACUGCCCUGCCUUGUGGUACAACGAAUUGAGGUACUGAUGGUGGAUUUGCGAAGGUUACGUAUCUCUUCUUUUGAAACUCAGUACUUGUUUCUUCUUCGCUAGUCCUGUUUUGUGUUUUCACCUCAACCACCUUUGCUGAAUCUUCAACAAACUUGACAUCCUCAAUUUCUGACUCCAUCACUAGCCGUUUCUCGGACUCUCGCUCCUUCAAUUGUUCCAGCUCUAGCUUUGUCCGUUCAAGCUCUUCCUUGAGAGAAGAGAGGCAAUUCGCCAUCAGCGUGCCUUCUUCUUUUGCUUUUUCGAGGCUAUACUUUGUCUCUUCUAGCUCCGCCACCACUGUUCCAAGCUUGGACUGGCUUUCGCUAUGUCCGUCGUGCAUCUGCACAUUAAUCAAACAAACAAAUCAUUUCUUAGCCAUCAAACACCAUACAAUAAAACUUGGAUUAUGAAAUUCCUAUAUCAAAAUAAGCGAGAAUAUGGACUGUUACGGAUGGAUUAAUUAUGUGUUUAUUUAUUAUACGUGGGGUAUGAACAAUGGAUGGUUGCUUGUGACCCCUCCCAAUGUCACAGGGUUUGGCAUCUCUUCACCGAAAGCCAAAGAGAUUGAUUCCCAUUUUCCCAAUAAAGUUGAGUUAAAUAAUUGCUUGUAAGUACUAAAAACUAUUUGUUUAUUUGUUUAUAUACCUUUACCCCGUCAGACACAUGACCACCACAGACAGCCACUGUGGCAGCAUUUUCAGGGUCGACCCACAUACUGUAAGUAAACUUGCACUCUCUCUGAAGCAAACAUUAUUUUUCACGGUAUUCUUUUGGACCUUAUGCACCCAUAACUAAUUACUCAGAAGAAUUAACAAAUUUAAUGGCGAAUGAUUUUAAUCUUGAAAGCGUCGACACUACUUGACGAUUUUUCUUGAAAAUGAGAACAAACUUUCAUGUGAUAACAAAUGAAUGAGAGGAAUGUAGCAAUUAAUCCCAGAAUGGCCGAUGUGUAGUCAAAGCUAUCGUAUAUGAAAUAAGCAGAGAAUGAACUAGGGAGUAAAAGGUGAUCACCUCUUUGAUUUUAUUAGAGGCAUAAACCUCCCCAGCUAGAACUCUCUCCCCGAACAAUACUACGGCCUCCUUCACCGAUCGGAAUGGCGCCCUCGUGUCGAUCUCCGCCCUUCUGAUCAUCACCACUCCAUCUUCGCCCUCCAUGCUCUACCUACUUACGCACUUUCCAAGGAAAGAGAAGGGGAGAAAUUCUGGGAAUAAGAUGGCAAAACCAACAAGAAGGUUGUCCUUAGUUUUAAAUUUCAGAGAAGGGAUAAAGAGGGGUGGUUACAAGUAGGAGUGAUUUGGUGCGGGCGAUGUUGUAUACUUAUAUAUAUAAGAAAAAUGAAAAAUAAUUGGGGUGGAGCUUCGUUACUUCGCGUUCACUUCACUAGAAUUCUGUUAUGUUUGAAGGUGAAGCCGGUGAGGAUAUCUGCAUACAUGGUCCCUUAUUGUUUAUUUAUAUGGCCAUAGAGUGGGACGCUUCACCUAUAUGUAUAUAACUGAGCCUCUCAUAUGCCAUAACCUCUUUCUGCAUGUGGGUUCCAUCUAAGCAUGAUAACUUUGCUCCACAGGUCCAACUGAGUUACCUUUGAGGCAUGACUUAAUAUUCCUCCAAAAGUAUUUGAUGGGUUUGCUAUAGAAAUGCCCAAAACAAAAAUUUUAGGUACCCACAUCCAAUUGAAGUUGAUCUACUCGAUUUCUUUUCAUGCUUUAUGUUAUUUAUAUCUGUUUUACAGGACAAACCAUAUGCUCAUUAAAAACUACUUGGAGUACGGGUGAAGGAGCUUGAGCUCAUUCAUACUCUAUGGCAGUCAAGUGACUUGCCCAUAACCCUAGCACAACCUUCAGAUUAGUAAUUCCAUACAACUUGGUAUUGGCCUAUAGUUACUGUUUACAACUAUAUAUAAUUAAGGUUUUCCUAUGGUCAUUUUAUUAAAUUGUAAAGCUUGAAUCAAUUUUAUUACGUUUUACUUUAGAUGUCGAGGAUCGAUCGGCCUGGUUAGCUCGAAAGGGUUGAAGGAGCAACGAUCUUUAGAAAUUCUUUUUAAGUGAUGAUUAGUAGGUUUGUUCCUAUUAUAUAUUUUAACUUUUUUAUGUUAUAGGGUUUUGAUAUAUAUAUUUUUUUAAGAGUGCGAUCAUAAUUGAGAGAUUUUUUUAGAGUUUCCCCAUCAUACUUCUUUUUAUUCCUUUUUAUGAGUGGAUUCUUAAGUGUUGCUAUACUUUAUGUACAUAUGGACGACGUUACAUUAUAGUUUUUACCUGAUGACUUAUCUCAUUCUCAAUGAAUUCCAUAAAUUUUUUUAGAUUUCUCGUUCAAAAAUAGAAACAACAACAAUAAAAUCAUACAUUUGGAUUAGAUUUACUAAAAAGUUUUCAAAAUUCAACGUCUUAAAAUAAAGUUGAAAUAAAAUCACUAUCACUAAUUCUAAUGAAAAUUUUAAAAUAUAAUUCAUACUCAUCUAAAUAUUUACUUAAAUAGAAAAUUCAGUUAAUUUUGAAAAUUAAAAAGUUAAAAUUUGAUACUCUCUCUCAAACAUUUGAAAAUACUAAAAUUAAUGAAUUAAUCUCAAUAAUUAGGUCCACAAUUCAACCACAAAUCCAUGAAUCCAAAUAUACACCACAUAAAAACCAUUGAAUAUUUAAUGAAAUUUAACCAAAAAAAUUUCAAACAUUUUGUUAGCAACCAAUAAAAUAAUUAGAAGUUGUAAUUACUAUCUAAUUAAUAGUUUUCUAAUGAGUUUUAUUAAUGUAAUAAAUUAUGGUAUUGAUAUUUAGAGAUACAUUAAUUUUUUUUUGAAAUUACAAGUUUUUGAAUUUCUUUAUCUUAAUCAUAUAAAAUAAAAUAAAUGUAAUAAUUAAUCAUGUUUUUAAUAUAUAAAAUAAAUAUAUUUAAAACUUAAUAGUGUUCAAAUAUUAAUAGAAAAUAAACAACUUAACCUUUAAUAACAUUCAUAUAUCAAUAAAAACAGUUAGAGUGUGUUUGGUAGUGAUUUUAAGAAGCGUUUCUAACAUUUUUAAUACUUCAAAGAUAAAAAUUUUCAAAUACUAGAAAGACUAUAAACACUUCCUAAAAUUAUUGUCAAACGCAUUCUUAAUAACAUCCAAUUUUAUUCAAAUUUUAGUCGAAUUCAAGUCUUAAGAUUUUAGACAAAAAAAAAAAAAAAAAUUGGAUAUUGGUGGAACAUCUACAAUGGUGACCAGCAUAUUGAUAAUCUCUUCUACCCUUUCUCCAUUGUCAUUGAAACUCACAAGGAAUAAUUAUGGUUUUUGAUGCUCACAAGUUCUUCUUGCUAUGCAAGCCUAGGAAUUUGAAGGUUAUUUACUAAGAACAAUGUUUUAUCCCCUUUGUUUUAUUGUAAUUAGAGAUGAUGAUUCUUCUAUAAUCCAUCUAAACUUUGUGACCUAGAUUAGAACAUAUCGACUCAUCUUGAGUUGACUUCUUUCUUCUCUAUUUAAGUCAAUGAUUGCUAUGUUUUUCAUUGUAAUACUAAUAUUAACACAUGGUGUACUUUUGAUCAUUUAUUCAUCACCAACUCUAAAUAUCAAGUUCAACAUCUUUAAAAUAAGUUGCAAGAAGUUUUAAAAGGCUAUUUGAGUAUUAUUGAUUAUUUUAUGUUAUAAAAGAGCUUGCAUAUACUUUGUUUACAAUUGAUGAGCCUAUUAUUGAUAAUAAGUUGCUAAUGUAUAUCUUUGGUGAGUUAGAUAAUGAAUUUCGUUCUUGUCAUUAUAGUAAAAUUAAUCAAGCGAAUCUAAGGUUGUGUUUGUUUUUUUUACUUAAUUCUAAAUAGAACCUUAAUGCUUAAUAAUGUUAAAUAUUAUGUUGUUUGUUUUUGUAGUAUUUUAUUUUUAUUAAGUAUUAAAAAAUAAAGAAAAAUUAAUAUGUUAUUUUUUCUAUUUAUAAAAAGUUAUAUAUUUUGGUUUUUUCUAUUUAGUAAAAUAUUUAUAAUAAGUUAUUAAAAAGUAGAAAAACAAAUAACAUAAAUUCUGAAAACAAAUUACCUUUAGUAAAAAAACCAAAAAAACAAAUACUGCCUAACUCUUUGAAUAAAACUUUUGAUCCUCUGGAAUCAUGCAUUGUGAUAUUUGGGAUUCUUCACCCAAUUUAUCUACAAGGAGUUAUUGAUAUUACAUUCACCUUAUUGAUGAUUUUAGUCAUCAUACUUGGAUCUUUCCAAUGAAGUUAAAAUUUAAAACUAAAGGAAUUUAUAGUGGUAAAUGUAGGUCUAACAUGAUGUGAUUUUCAGACAACAAAAAGAUAGACAUAUAGAUGAGGUUGGAUUGACACUCAUGCCACACAUGACUUUUUCCUUUUAAUGCUUUUGUCAUUACUAUAUAUUUCAUUAAUAGGUUGUCUGCUCAGGUUCUUAAUCAUCUCUCACCCUUGGAAUCUUUGUAUCACAAAAGAAAAAAAAAAUCUUAAUCAUUUUUUGCAAAUUCUCAUAAAAACUUUGGUGUUUUUUUUGUAUAAUAUUUUGAAAAAUAAAUAAGAAUGUGAAGAAUAAUUAAUAAACUUUUGCAUCCAACAUAAAAUAGACAACCCUCACCCAUAAUGAAUCGAGAACCUUGAAUCAUUAUUUAAAUUCUUAAAUAAAAUUUUGUUCUUGAUUACAAUUAAAAAUUAUUUUUAAAAUAUUCCCUCCUCGUAUGCUUGAUUGUGUGCCACCAAACUCCCACUUCAAGUGCCUUGCGUUAGCCCUCAGGUGAGGGGUGGGAGCAAAAGAUGUGCUCGAAUUAGGUGGUUCGACUUACAUGGGACAGAUCAGGGCCUCAAAUCAGUCCUGCUGCUGCCUCUAUCCUCACCCAAGGGGCAAUUACAGCAAGCAUUAUUCACAAAGUUAGUGCAGUGGGUGGGUUUGUUCUCCUCAAUACAUGAUUAAACUCCAAAACCGUAGGACAGGGCAGCCCAGAGCCCACUAAAAUUGGAACGUUAAUGGGAAUAUGAAACAGGACAAAUUUGAGCCAAUGUGGUGUACAGGUAUCCUAGUCCCAAUCAAGGUUUGAAAAAUCGAUGGUUGAAACAAUAUAGGUCAUCGAUAAUCAGUUUGACAAAAAAUGCCAAAAUAUUGAAAAAAUCAGUCGAAAACUUUUCGAUUUUGAAGUGAAAAAUCGAGUGUGGGAGCGAUGGGCCCGUGGCGAUCUGAAAAAUCAACAAUUCAAAAUAAUCAGUGAUUUAUAUAUAUAUAUAUAUAUAUAUAUAUAUAUAUAUAUAUAUAUAUAUAUAUAUAUUAAUUAUUUUGUGAACCCCGUAUUUCGGCUCAAUGCGUUUCCCACUCGAUGGCGAGCUCGAUUUUGAUUUUGAAAAAUGAUUUAAUUGGUUAAAAAAAAUGACUUGGAGUCGCCACUUAUUUUUGUUUUAUUUUUAAAAGGGUAAACAAAAUAAGAAAGAAAACCCUAAUUGCGACUCCUGGUUUUGGAAAAGGUGAUCUACGAAAAACCGGAUCGGGCUCGGGGGUCAGGUUACUUAUCGGGAAGGUACGGUGAAGACCAUAGCACCCCUCUAAGCCCCUAGAGGUCGGGUCUCUACUAAUAAAAUGAAGUUGUUGUGGCAAUUAAUGUGGAGAUCAAUGAAUACUCAGGAUGAUCAUGCACGUGAGGGAAUCAAAACAUUCAAUAAAGAAUCGACUGAAGUGAGAAUGGGGCAUACCUUGGCAUCAAUCGAUCAAUGCGCGAGCUUAAGGUGAUCUUUCCUGAUGAUCCACAAUGCAACCUUCCUCUGCUUUUCCUCCUUUGAUCAUCCCAGAAAAAUAUCUUCUAAGCUACCUCGGAAAAACCCGUCUGCUUCCUCCACGAACUUGAGAAAUAUCUCAGUAAGCUCACGCUUGAAAAUCCCUCCUCCCCCUCCUUGCCUUCCUCUUCUUUUCUUAUCUAGCCUCCUCCUCCCUUCCUCUGUUCGUGUCUUCCUCAACAAGCCAACCUUCCCUUCCUGUUCAUCACAUCAGCAAGCAUGGGCUUGCAACCACUCUCUCUGCUGCUGCACGUCUCAUGCAGACGGCAUCCCACCUCAGCUAGGGGUCCCCUACCCCUUCUAACAAUAUCCUGAAAAUCCCAGAAGAAAAGAAAGAAAAAAAACCAACCCUCCGGGUCCUCCCCACCAAAGGGGGUCUACAAAUAUGCCCCUCUUCGGUAGAGCUCAUGAGUGUAAGGAAUGUGAACACUGGAGUGAAAAGCAAGUGUGAGUAAUGAGUGGGAUGAAAUGAGCUCUAUCGAAGAACAAAGGAGACCCCCAAAAGGACACCCAAUGAAGCACAGACUUACUCAGGUCAAUAGACGAACACAAAGGCUCUAAUCCUAAAAGAAAACAUAUCUCAAAGCGCCUCUGAAGCCACACUAAGGACCCAAUCUCUCUCUAAGAUGUCUCCAAAAGUGACCCAAGAGAUCAAUGUCAAAGAUGAGUAACGGUCGAACCACCCUGGAGUACGAGAUGAAUAUGCGAUAAGCACCGGGUAACGAAGUGAGGAAAGCCGAGGACGAAUGCAAAACCCUAAAGGUAAGAUGUGCAAUGCCAGUGGAUAUGAACACUAGGAGCUGCGACUCUGAAUGACAAGACUGACUCUAAACGCUAAACUAGAAAAUAAAGCUCUGGAAGCCAAACCAAAAAGCUAACUCUAAACUGCUAAACUGAGAAAAUAACGGCUUUGGAAGCCAAACCAAAAACUAGCCCUAAAAGCUAAACUAGAAAAUAACAGCUCUGGAAACCACUAACUUUAAAAGCUAAACUAGAAAAUAACAACUCUGGAAGCCAAACAAAAACUAACUUUAAAAGCUAAACUAGAAAAUAACAGCUCUGGAAGCCUAAACAAGACGAUAGUGAUGGCUCUGGAAGCCUAAACAAGAUGAUAGUGAUGACUCUGGAAGCCUAAACGAGAUGACAGUGAUGACUCUGGAAGCCUAAUCGAAACGACAGUGAUGGCUCUGGAAGCCUAAACGAGACGACAGUGAUGGCUUUGGAAGCCUAAACGAGACGAUAGUGAUGGCUCUGGCAGCCUAAACGAGACGAUAGAAAUGGCUCUGGAAGCCUAAACAAGAUGACAGUAAUGACUCUAGAAGCCUAAACGAGAUGGCAGAAAUGGCUCUGGAAGCCUAAACAAGACGAUAGUGAUGGAUCUGGAAGCCUAGAUGAGACGACAGUGAUGGCUCUAGAAGCCUAAACAAGACGAUAGUGAUGGCUCUGGAAGCCUAAACAAGACGACAGUGAUGGCUCUGGAAGCCUAAACAAGACGAUAGUGAUGGCUCUGGAAGCCUAAAUGAGACGACAGUGAUGGCUCUGGAAGCCACACUGAAAAUAGUGAUGAUGGCUCUGAACGCCAAACUGAAAAUAGUGAUGGCUCUGAACACCCAAACUGAGAAGCGAUGAUGGCUUUGAACGCCAAACUGAAAAGCGAUGAUGGCUCUGAACGCCAAAACUGAGAAGUGAUGAAGAUGGCUAUGAACGUCGAAACUGAGGAUGCGACUUUGAAUGUCGAUCUGAAAACCGAUGAUGGCUCUGAACGCCGAAACUAAAAAGUAAUGUAGAUGACCAUGAACGUCAAACUGAGAAGUGAUAGCGACUCUGAACGUUGAAACCGAGGAUGCGACUCUGAAUGUCGAUCUGAAAACCGAUGAUGGCUCUGAACGCCGAACUGAAAACACGGUGAUGGCUCUGAACGCCGAAACCUAAAAGUGAUGAUGGCUCUGAAUGUUGAACUGAAAAGAAAAAAAUAAAAUAAUAAUAAUAAUAGCUCUGGAAGCCAAAUCAAAAAGCUAACUCUAAAUACUAAACUAGAAGAAUAAUGGCUCUGGAAGCCAAACAAAAAAAACUAACUCUAAAUGAUAAACUGAGAAAAUAAUAGCUCUGAAAGCCAAACCAAAAAGCUAACUCUAAACACUAAACUAUAAGGCCCAUAGGUGAAGACCUACGGUGGUGAUAAAUCUGAACAAAGGGAGAUGCCCUAAGCGAACUGACGGUAGGGGAAUGCCCUAAACAAACUGAAAAUAGGGGGAUGCCCUAAACAGACCAAAAAUAGGAGGAUGCCCUAAACAAGAUGACGGUAGGGGGAUGCCCUAAACAAAAUAAUAGUAGAGGGAUGCCCCAAACGUAAAUAACAGUGGGGAGAUGCCCCAAACAAAAUGACAGUGGGGGGAUGCCCCAAACGAAAUGACAGUGGGGGGAUGCCCCUAACGAAAUGACAAUGGGGGGGAUGCCCCAAACGUAAAUGACAGUGGGGGAUGCCCCAAACGUAAAUACAGUGGGGGAUGCCCCAAACGUAAAUACAGUGGGGGAUGCCCUAACGAAAUGACAAUGGGGGGAUGCCCCAAACGUAAAUGACAGUGGGGGGAUGCCCCUAACGAAAUGACAAUGGGGGGAUGCCCCAAACGUAAAUGACAGUGGGGGAUGCCCCAAACAUAAAUACAGUGGGGGGAUGCCCCUAACGAAAUGACAAUGGGGGGAUGCCCCAAACGUAAAUGACAGUGGGGGGGAUGCCCCAGUAUGACGACUCGCAAAGAUCCGGAUGUGG
Molecule: long non-coding RNA, 23035 nt
Filed under: Vitis vinifera (wine grape)
Lineage: Eukaryota; Viridiplantae; Streptophyta; Magnoliopsida; Vitales; Vitaceae
Description: long non-coding RNA (VVIN_LNC006091)
Source: RNAcentral